This 497-nucleotide ribosomal RNA is filed under the name uncultured bacterium. Its description in RNAcentral is "partial 16S ribosomal RNA". It matches the Rfam family "Bacterial small subunit ribosomal RNA", at positions 28 to 507 of the family's 1533-position model. The record is from RNAcentral.
GAUGAACGCUGGCGGCGUGCCUAAUACAUGCAAGUCGAGCGAACAGACGAGGAGCUUGCUCCUCUGACGUUAGCGGCGGACGGGUGAGUAACACGUGGAUAACCUACCUAUAAGACUGGGAUAACUUCGGGAAACCGGAGCUAAUACCGGAUAACAUGUUGAACCGCAUGGUUUAACAGUGAAAGACGGUCUUGCUGUCACUUAUAGAUGGAUCCGCGCCGCAUUAGCUAGUUGGUAAGGUAACGGCUUACCAAGGCAACGAUGCGUAGCCGACCUGAGAGGGUGAUCGGCCACACUGGAACGGAGACACGGUCCAGACUCCUACGGGAGGCAGCAUUAGGGAAUCUUCGGCAAUGGGCGAAAGCCUGACGGAGCAACGCCGCGUGAGUGAAGAAGGUCUUCGGAUCGUAAAACUCUGUUAUUAGGGAAGAACAAAUGUGUAAGUAACUAUGCACGUCUUGACGGUACCUAAUCAGAAAGCCACGGCUAACUACGUG